UACGUAGGGGGCAAGCGUUGUCCGGAUUUAUUGGGCGUAAAGAGCGUGUAGGCGGCCAUACAGGUCAGCUGUGAAAACUCGAGGCUCAACCUCGAGACGUCGGUUGAAACCGUAUGGCUAGAGCCCGGAAGAGGAGAGUGGAAUUCCCGGUGUAGCGGUGAAAUGCGCAGAUAUCGGGAAGAACACCCGUGGCGAAGGCGGCUCUCUGGGACGGUACUGACGCUGAGACGCGAAAGCGUGGGGAGCGAUCCGG
RNAcentral lists this ribosomal RNA (253 nucleotides) under uncultured bacterium. RNAcentral describes it as "partial 16S ribosomal RNA". It matches the Rfam family "Bacterial small subunit ribosomal RNA", at positions 524 to 776 of the family's 1533-position model. The record is from RNAcentral.